AGGAAUUUUUCACAUAAAUCCCUAGGG
This 27-nucleotide non-coding RNA is filed under the name Rattus norvegicus (Norway rat). The record is from RNAcentral. Lineage: Eukaryota; Metazoa; Chordata; Mammalia; Rodentia; Muridae.